Molecule: ribosomal RNA, 2314 nt
Filed under: Salmonella enterica subsp. enterica serovar Weltevreden
Lineage: Bacteria; Pseudomonadati; Pseudomonadota; Gammaproteobacteria; Enterobacterales; Enterobacteriaceae
Description: bacterial LSU rRNA
Rfam family: Bacterial large subunit ribosomal RNA
Source: RNAcentral
AGCGUACACGGUGGAUGCCCUGGCAGUCAGAGGCGAUGAAGGGCGUGCUAAUCUGCGAUAAGCGCCGGUAAGGUGAUAUGAACCGUUAUAACCGGCGAUACCCGAAUGGGGAAACCCAGUGUGAUUCGUCACACUAUCAUUAACUGAAUCCAUAGGUUAAUGAGGCGAACCGGGGGAACUGAAACAUCUAAGUACCCCGAGGAAAAGAAAUCAACCGAGAUUCCCCCAGUAGCGGCGAGCGAACGGGGAGGAGCCCAGAGCCUGAAUCAGCAUGUGUGUUAGUGGAAGCGUCUGGAAAGGCGCGCGAUACAGGGUGACAGCCCCGUACACAAAAGCGCAUGUGCUGUGAGCUCGAUGAGUAGGGCGGGACACGUGGUAUCCUGUCUGAAUAUGGGGGGACCAUCCUCCAAGGCUAAAUACUCCUGACUGACCGAUAGUGAACCAGUACCGUGAGGGAAAGGCGAAAAGAACCCCGGCGAGGGGAGUGAAAAAGAACCUGAAACCGUGUACGUACAAGCAGUGGGAGCCCCACCACCAAAGCGUUUCGCUUUGUGUGGUGCACAAAGAAGCGUAACGACAGCACUGAAUGACGGUUAACGGAGCGCAAGCGACGUUCAACAUACAAAGUCAAGCAGUGGAGCGCUUUGGGGUGGGGUGACUGCGUACCUUUUGUAUAAUGGGUCAGCGACUUAUAUUCUGUAGCAAGGUUAACCGAAUAGGGGAGCCGGAGGGAAACCGAGUCUUAAUUGGGCGUUAAGUUGCAGGGUAUAGACCCGAAACCCGGUGAUCUAGCCAUGGGCAGGUUGAAGGUUGGGUAACACUAACUGGAGGACCGAACCGACUAAUGUUGAAAAAUUAGCGGAUGACCUGUGGCUGGGGGUGAAAGGCCAAUCAAACCGGGAGAUAGCUGGUUCUCCCCGAAAGCUAUUUAGGUAGCGCCUCGUGAAUUCAUCUCCGGGGGUAGAGCACUGUUUCGGCUAGGGGGCCAUCCCGGCUUACCAACCCGAUGCAAACUGCGAAUACCGGAGAAUGUUAUCACGGGAGACACACGGCGGGUGCUAACGUCCGUCGUGAAGAGGGAAACAACCCAGACCGCCAGCUAAGGUCCCAAAGUCAUGGUUAAGUGGGAAACGAUGUGGGAAGGCCCAGACAGCCAGGAUGUUGGCUUAGAAGCAGCCAUCAUUUAAAGAAAGCGUAAUAGCUCACUGGUCGAGUCGGCCUGCGCGGAAGAUGUAACGGGGCUAAACCAUGCACCGAAGCUGCGGCAGCGACGCUUAUGCGUUGUUGGGUAGGGGAGCGUUCUGUAAGCCUGUGAAGGUGGCCUGUGAGGGUUGCUGGAGGUAUCAGAAGUGCGAAUGCUGACAUAAGUAACGAUAAAGCGGGUGAAAAGCCCGCUCGCCGGAAGACCAAGGGUUCCUGUCCAACGUUAAUCGGGGCAGGGUGAGUCGACCCCUAAGGCGAGGCCGAAAGGCGUAGUCGAUGGGAAACGGGUUAAUAUUCCCGUACUUGGUGUUACUGCGAAGGGGGGACGGAGAAGGCUAUGUUGGCCGGGCGACGGUUGUCCCGGUUUAAGCGUGUAGGUGUGUGUUCCAGGUAAAUCCGGUUCACUUUAACACUGAGGCGUGAUGACGAGGCACUACGGUGCUGAAGCAACAAAUGCCCUGCUUCCAGGAAAAGCCUCUAAGCAUCAGGUAACAUCAAAUCGUACCCCAAACCGACACAGGUGGUCAGGUAGAGAAUACCAAGGCGCUUGAGAGAACUCGGGUGAAGGAACUAGGCAAAAUGGUGCCGUAACUUCGGGAGAAGGCACGCUGACAUGUAGGUGAAGUGAUUUACUCAUGGAGCUGAAGUCAGUCGAAGAUACCAGCUGGCUGCAACUGUUUAUUAAAAACACAGCACUGUGCAAACACGAAAGUGGACGUAUACGGUGUGACGCCUGCCCGGUGCCGGAAGGUUAAUUGAUGGGGUCAGCGCAAGCGAAGCUCCUGAUCGAAGCCCCGGUAAACGGCGGCCGUAACUAUAACGGUCCUAAGGUAGCGAAAUUCCUUGUCGGGUAAGUUCCGACCUGCACGAAUGGCGUAAUGAUGGCCAGGCUGUCUCCACCCGAGACUCAGUGAAAUUGAACUCGCUGUGAAGAUGCAGUGUACCCGCGGCAAGACGGAAAGACCCCGUGAACCUUUACUAUAGCUUGACACUGAACAUUGAGCCUUGAUGUGUAGGAUAGGUGGGAGGCUUUGAAGCGUGGACGCCAGUCUGCGUGGAGCCGACCUUGAAAUACCACCCUUUAAUGUUUGAUGUUCUAACGUGGACCCGU